AGCAAUUUUCAUUCUUCUUGUCCAAUCCAUGUUGGUUUAUUUGGUUUUAAAUGUGCAUAUUUAUGUGAUUUCAUCUGUUUCCUUGACGAUAGUUCAAAGUAGACUAAUAUGACAUAAUAUUAUCCUAGAAUGACUUUUUUGUUAUUAUUUUGUGUCUCAUACUAGUAAAGAUAAUUCAGUUAUCUUUACUUGUGGUGUCAGAUAUUCACAAUUCAUCAUUCAUAGAAGUAAGACAUUGUGUCUGCCAAAGACUAUCAAAACUUAAUAGUUCAACUGAGGAAAAGCCAUCAACGAGAUAUGUGCAUAGAAAUAUAUAUAGGAAAAUCCACUGGCAAUGUGAUAUUACCAUCUAAACUAGAAGAAUGUCUCAAAUUCUCCAUGAAAGGAUAAACCAAGAAGUGAUCCCUUGGUGCCAUGCAAUACUCAAUCACUUUUAGUAAGUUCCUGGGGACAACCACACUUAUAACUUAAGCUUCUCAUUUGAAAGCCAUAUCAUGUCCAUGAUUCUCUACUUUAGCCAAUCGUUUGAUGGCAAUCACUUUAUUGUCUUGGCCUGGAAGAACUCCUCUGUAAACCUUAGUGAAAGAGCCCUUUCCAAGAUUUUUUAACUCAAAUUUCUUGUUGCAAUCAUGAGAUGAUGCAAUGAGAAUUAUUGUGCCGACUCAAGAUCUGGCUUAGAGCAUGCUCAUCUUAAAUUUAGUUUAUGUUUAUCAUGUUCUUAGUUGGAAAAAAGCCUUUCUUUGUGGAAUUCCACUACAACAGAUGGAAAUUAUUUCGUGGUGAAAAUUUCAAUACGGUAAACAUGCAUGAAAAAAAAAAUUUACCCUAAUCCAAACUAACCCGGAACAUGAAAAAACAAAUCACUCCGGCAAGGCAUUCUUCGCAAGAUUAGAGCACACAUAGCAACAAGUAGAACUAUUGCUCCACCAAUACUUCCGAGAACCACCUUUGUGGUGGAUUUUCUUGAUCCACCUGUUAAUAAAUGUUAAAUAUGAAAUGCAAGCAGGUGUUUUUCAAUCCGAAUGUUAGGUUCCAUAUAGAUUGUCAUGUAGGUUUCUGUAUUACUUGUAUUGUUGAUGUUUUCUUUUCAUGACAUUAAGUGUGAACCACAAUUUAAGUGGUUGACGGUAUAUCUAGAACCACAUGAUUACACUUAUUAUGUUACUUGAAGGAGUGCAUAAAAUUCCUUAUAAAAUGUAAUAUGGGGAUUGUAUAGAGGUUGUGUCAACUAAUUCGGAUUGGAGGGAUUAUUAUAGUUCAGGUAGGCCAUACUUUUAUAGGGACAAUAGUUGUUCACGUAUUUCACCACUAAGAUUGUUCUAUGCCAGAUUGUUACAAAACACAAAACGUAGAUCAUCACAUAAUUGAGUUCAAAUGGUCUUAUUCGCUUAUUAAAAUGAAUACAAGGCUUGCAAUGACAACAAUAAUAUUCAAUUAGUUUUCUGCUUAUAACAGCAUGGAAAGGAAAACUUACAUGGAAUUCAAAGAUGUAAUAUUUGACAAAGAGAUUAGAAUAUUUCCACUUAGAAGAUUUUGGCCCAGAUCCCUAUUGAAGUUACCACACCCUUAUGUUUGUUAGUGUACCGUAAUACUAAGAGAUAACACAAGUCAGUCUGGCUUAUAGAUUUUGCUGUUCUGAAAGGCGGCCAAGAGAAUCGGAUAUUGAGCCAUUGAAUUGAUUAUUUUCAAGUUUAAAAUUUGUCAGACUUGAAAGAUUCCCAAUCUCCUAUGGUAUUUCUUCAGUUAUAUUGUUAUCAUCUAAAACCUGAAAUGAAGAUAUGUGACAAUAACGAUAGCUGAACCAUUUUUAAUGGAUAUCUAUCUGUACAUCAUUUUCAUGAGGAACAAAUCAUAGAUUUCAUAACUAAUUAAUGCUUUAUCUUACAGCCAUUAUAGUGUUGUCAACUUCGCAAUGCUGGGCGAGAAGACUUCACGUAACCCUACGAGCUCAAGCUUCUACAAAUAAAGAAACGAGAAGUUAAUUAAGCCAAUAGUCUUGUGAAUACAUAGAUUGCUGAUCCAGGGUCCUCCUGCCGAUUCCAAUGCUGACUUGAAUCCUGUUAGGAGUUGAUCAAGAUAAUACACGUGUUGUGAUGCAAUCGAGAGAACGUGCUAUGUACUGCUGUACAUACACCAAUAAUGCAUUCACUUUCACACUUCUCUGGUCAGCUCAUAUGUGGUUAUCGAAGCAGGAAAAUUUCUUGAGAAGGACUCUAAUUGCUAUGGACCAAGAGAUUUCAGAUGCUUAUUACUGUUGUAUAUGUUGCCGUUGACAUUGGACUUGCUAUUCCUGUAAGAGGUACAUUGGAAUCGCUGUUCAUCUAGGGGAGUCAGUGCCAAAUCUACGUUGGAAUAAUGCAAUGUUAAUGAUUGGAGAUGGAUUGACUCCUACCAAAGACUGAUCCCAAGCAGAACUACAACCUGUCCAUGGAUUACCUGCAGGCCUGCAUUCUAAGUUUCUAACCAACAACAUUGGGCAGUGAGCGGGAGGGGCGACCAGCGACCAGCGAACGUGUGCGUGGUGCAACCGCACAAGAGGUGACGGGGAGCCGACGGAGACUGCCAGUGGUGAGCAGGUGGUGGCGACCUGGAGCGGUCGGCACUAGCGGCGAGCAGGCAAUCACCGCGACGGGCGAGCGGACAGGGCGAGUAGGUGCCACGAACUGCACCUCAAUUGGAAUACAGUAAAGAAUUGAUAUGAGUAUGAUGUAUGCGUGUGGCCAUCAACUGAAAUUUUGUGUUCCGUGCGCUUGUGUUUGCACAGGGCCGGUCUUGAGAAUUCGAGGGCCCAGGGCGAAACUACAAUUCGGGGCCCCUCGGGCCCUUAAUAUAAAUGUCUAAUUGAUAAUCAUCAUAUGAAGAUAAUUUGUGUCAAAGAAAAUAAUUAAGUGCGUCCAAAAUGAUUGUACAUAUCACAUAAUGUAUUACCUAUUACCUUCAAAAAAAAUCUCCUAACAUUAUGAGAUGCAAAAUCA
Molecule: long non-coding RNA, 2975 nt
Organism: Triticum dicoccoides
Lineage: Eukaryota; Viridiplantae; Streptophyta; Magnoliopsida; Poales; Poaceae
Exons: 3
Source: RefSeq, a predicted model, not a curated record